AUUGAACGCUGGCGGCAGGCCUAACACAUGCAAGUCGAGCGGUUGACGGGAGCUUGCUCCCUGAUUCAGCGGCGGACGGGUGAGUAAUGCCUAGGAAUCUGCCUAUUAGUGGGGGACAACGUUCUGAAAGGAACGCUAAUACCGCAUACGUCCUACGGGAGAAAGUAGGGGACGUUCGGGCCUUGCGCAAAUAGAUGAGCCUAGGUCGGUUUAGGUUGUUGGUUGGGUAAUGGCUCACGAAGGCGACGAUCCGUAACUGGUAUGAGAGUAUGAUCAGUCACACUCGAACUGAGACACGGUCCAGGUUCCUACGGGAGGCAUCAGUGGGGAAUAUUGAACAAUGGGCGAAAGCCUGCUCCAGCCAUGCCGCGUGUGUGAAGAAAGUCUUCGUAUUGUAAAGCACUUUAAGUUGGUAGGAAGGGUUGUAGAUUAAUACUCUGCAAUUUUGACGUUCCCGACAGAAUGAGCACCUGCUAACUCUGUGCCAGCCGCCGCCGUAA
This 500-nucleotide ribosomal RNA is filed under the name uncultured bacterium. Its description in RNAcentral is "partial 16S ribosomal RNA". It matches the Rfam family "Bacterial small subunit ribosomal RNA", at positions 30 to 523 of the family's 1533-position model. The record is from RNAcentral.